ACUCGAACCUCGCAAUUUGCACAGGUCCAGUGUGUUACAUAAAGUGAACAACAACACUCUAUCAACAGUCCUAGGAGUCCACAACUAGUCAUACAACAAUUCCUAAAAGUCAAUUACUAAGCAGAUAUCAGAGUGAAUAAAUUACAUAAUAGGUAUAACAGCAUAUAUAUACAAAUAAUCUCACCAACUCAUAACAUUGCAAACAUAUCAUACAUGUAUAACAACUCCAACACUCAACAUGCAGAAUACAUCACCCACUAGUCUCAUCAAUGUAUCAGAUACAAGCUACUAUACAGCUACUGGAUCUACAGGGUCCUCCUAUAGCAAU
This 328-nucleotide long non-coding RNA is filed under the name Ananas comosus (pineapple). Its description in RNAcentral is "long non-coding RNA (ACOM_LNC030393)". The record is from RNAcentral. Lineage: Eukaryota; Viridiplantae; Streptophyta; Magnoliopsida; Poales; Bromeliaceae.